AGCGAACGCUGGCGGCAUGCCUAACACAUGCAAGUCGCACGGGGGGGCUUCGGCCUCCCAGUGGCGGACGGGUGAGGAACGCGUAGGGACCUGUCGAGGGGUGGGGGAUAACCGCGGGAAACUGCGGCUAAUACCGCAUGACGCCGCGGCGUGACAGCCGGGGCCAAAGGCGAAAGCCGCCCGCCGAGGGGCCUGCGUCCGAUUAGCUGGUUGGCGGGGUAGCGGCCCACCAAGGCGUCGAUCGGUAGCUGGUCUGAGAGGGUGAUCAGCCACACCGGGACUGAGACACGGCCCGGACUCCUACGGGAGGCAGCAGUGGGGAAUAUUGGACAAUGGGCGCUAGCCUGAUCCAGCAAUGCCGCGUGGGUGAAGAAGGUCUUCGGAUUGUAAAGCCCUUUCGGCGGGGACGAUGGUGACGGUACCCGCAGAAGAAGCCCCGGCUAACUUCGUG
This 451-nucleotide ribosomal RNA is filed under the name uncultured bacterium. RNAcentral describes it as "partial 16S ribosomal RNA". It matches the Rfam family "Bacterial small subunit ribosomal RNA", at positions 28 to 507 of the family's 1533-position model. The record is from RNAcentral.